This is a long non-coding RNA of Cannabis sativa, 593 nucleotides long. RefSeq lists it as uncharacterized. The record is from RefSeq and is a predicted model, not a curated record. The transcript has 2 exons. NCBI's taxonomy places the organism in Eukaryota, Viridiplantae, Streptophyta, Magnoliopsida, Rosales, Cannabaceae.
CGUUUGGUUGGUGGUAAUGGGCCAGAAAGGAAUGGAAUGGAAUACUAAUGGGCCUGAUUAUUUUGUUUGGUUGAAAAAUAACAAUUUUGGAAUAGAAUUCCAUAGUAAUGCUAUUCCUCCAAACUAAUGGAAUUGCUAUUCCAUUUUUUAUUUGGUGGAAUUAUAAUUCCAUUCCAGCAUAUAUCUCUCCUCCAUGGCCCAAGCCCAACAAACCCUAACCCUAGAAAACUGAAGAUUAACCAUUGUGACCAUCUUCUUCCUCUUCUUCGAUCGAUCGGACUCUGCAAGUGCCGGGGUAGCGUUGCCAGAGUGUCCCAGAUGAUGAGAAGGAUGAAUGGGCGAGACUUCUGAUUGAUGGCUCUCUUUAGUACACAGCUCGGGAAAGAGUUAGAAAGAUCAUGGUUAUUCACUUUGGUCUAAAAUAAUUUGCAGGACAAUAUAUAUUGCCUUUGACAUUCAGUAGUAUACAAAUUAUAAUCUUUUGGAUUUGGUGUAAUGUGUUAUGCUCAUAAUUUUGCAAACAAUUAUUUUGAGCAUAAAUAUGGGUAUUGGACAUGAAUACUUAUACUUUUGAACAAGUUUUUAUGUGAUUA